Small nuclear RNA from Otolemur garnettii (small-eared galago), 107 nucleotides. The record is from Ensembl. NCBI's taxonomy places the organism in Eukaryota, Metazoa, Chordata, Mammalia, Primates, Galagidae.
GUGCUUGCUUAGGCAGCACAUACACUAAAAGUGGCACGAUACGGAGAAGAUCAGGAUGGCCCCUGCACGAGGAGGACACGGACAUUUGUGAAGUGUUGUCAUUUUCA